UUAAGUUAACAAGGGCGCAUGGUGAAUGCCUUGGCACUAGGAGCCGAUGAAGGACGGGACUAACACCGAUAUGCUUCGGGGAGCUGUACGUAAGCUAUGAUCCGGAGAUUUCCGAAUGGGGCAACCCAGCAGUUUUAAUCAACUGUUACCACUAGAUGAAUUCAUAGUCUAGUUGGAGGUAAACGCUGUGAACUGAAACAUCUCAUUAGCAGCAGGAAUAUAAAGAAAUUUCGAUUCCCUAAGUAGCGGCGAGCGAACGGGGAACAGCCCAAACCAAAGUGCUUGCACUUUGGGGUUGUAGGACUGAACAUUUGAGUUACCAAAGAACUUGAUAGUCGAAGGAUUUGGGAAAAUCCGCCAUAGAUGGUGAUAGCCCAGUAGAUUAAAUCAAAUUCUCUCAGUUCAGGAUCCUGAGUACGGCGGAACACGUGAAAUUCCGUCGGAAUCCGGGAGGACCAUCUCCCAAGGCUAAAUACUACCUAGUGACCGAUAGUGAACCAGUACCGUGAGGGAAAGGUGAAAAGCACCCCGGGAGGGGAGUGAAAUAGUUCCUGAAACCAUGUGCCUACAAUAAGUCAGAGCGCGUUAAUGCGUGAUGGCGUGCCUUUUGUAGAAUGAACCGGCGAGUUAUGAUCCCGUGCAAGGUUAAGACUAAAAAGUCGGAGCCGUAGCGAAAGCGAGUCUGAAAUGGGCGUUUUGAGUACGAGGUUAUAGACCCGAAACCAGGUGACCUAUCCAUGUCCAGGUUGAAGGUGCGGUAAAACGCACUGGAGGACCGAACCCGUGUAAGUUGAAAAUUGCUGGGAUGAGGUGUGGAUAGCGGUGAAAUUCCAAACGAACUUGGAGAUAGCUGGUUCUCUCCGAAAUAGCUUUAGGGCUAGCCUCGGAAUUAGGAUCAUGGAGGUAGAGCACUAUUUGGACUAGGGGCCCGUCUUGGGUUACUGAAUUCAGAUAAACUCCGAAUGCCAUUGAUUCAUAUCCGGGAGUCAGACGAUGAGUGAUAAGAUCCACCGUCGAAAGGGGAACAGCCCAGACCAUCAGUUAAGGUCCCUAAAUGUAUGCUAAGUGGAAAAGGAUGUGGAGUUGCAUAGACAACUAGGAUGUUGGCUCAGAAGCAGCCACCAUUUAAAGAGUGCGUAAUAGCUCACUAGUCGAGUGAUCCUGCGCCGAAAAUGUACCGGGGCUAAGCAUACUACCGAAACCAUGGAUGCGACCAUUAGGUCGCGUGAUAGGAGAGCGUUCUAAGGGCGGUGAAGCAAGAUCGUGAGGACUUGUGGAGCGCUUAGAAGUGAGAAUGCCGGUAUGAGUAGCGAAAGAUAGGUGAGAAUCCUAUCCACCGAAUGACUAAGGUUUCCUGGGGAAGGCUCGUCCUCCCAGGGUUAGUCGGGACCUAAGUCGAGGCCGAGAGGCGUAGACGAUGGAUAACAGGUUGAGAUUCCUGUACUAGUUAAGUGCGUUUGAGCAAUGGAGGGACGCAGGAGGCUAAGAUGUGCAUUCUGUUGGAUUAGAAUGUCCAAGCAGUAAGUCUUGUGAAGAGUCAAAUGCUUUUCACUUUAAGGACAAGCUGUGAUGGGGAGCGAAAUUUAGUAGCGAAGCGUCUGAUGUCACACUGCCGAGAAAAGCUUCUAGUGAGUACUUAACUACCCGUACCGCAAACCAACACAGGUAGUCGAGGAGAGAAUCCUAAGGUGAGCGAGUGAACUCUCGUUAAGGAACUCGGCAAAAUGACCCCGUAACUUCGGGAGAAGGGGUGCUGAUCGCAAGAUCAGCCGCAGUGAAUAGGCCCAGGCGACUGUUUAUCAAAAACACAGGUCUCUGCAAAAUCGUAAGAUGACGUAUAGGGGCUGACGCCUGCCCGGUGCUGGAAGGUUAAAAGGAUGGGUUAGCUUCGGCGAAGCUCAGAAUUGAAGCCCCAGUAAACGGCGGCCGUAACUAUAACGGUCCUAAGGUAGCGAAAUUCCUUGUCGGGUAAGUUCCGACCCGCACGAAAGGCGUAACGAUCUGGGCACUGUCUCAACGAGAGACUCGGUGAAAUUAUAUUGUCCGUGAAGAUGCGGACUACCCGCGACAGGACGGAAAGACCCCAUGGAGCUUUACUGUAGCUUGAUAUUGAGUGUUUGUACAGCUUGUACAGGAUAGGUAGGAGCCAUAGAAACCGGAACGCUAGUUUCGGUGGAGGCGUUGGUGGGAUACUACCCUCGCUGUAUGACCACUCUAACCCGCACCACUAAUCGUGGUGGGAGACAGUGUCAGGUGGGCAGUUUGACUGGGGCGGUCGCCUCCUAAAAAGUAACGGAGGCGCCCAAAGGUUCCCUCAGAAUGGUUGGAAAUCAUUCGCAGAGUGUAAAGGCACAAGGGAGCUUGACUGCGAGACAGACAGGUCGAGCAGGGACGAAAGUCGGGCUUAGUGAUCCGGUGGUACCGUAUGGAAGGGCCAUCGCUCAACGGAUAAAAGCUACCCUGGGGAUAACAGGCUUAUCUCCCCCAAGAGUCCACAUCGACGGGGAGGUUUGGCACCUCGAUGUCGGCUCAUCGCAUCCUGGGGCUGUAGUCGGUCCCAAGGGUUGGGCUGUUCGCCCAUUAAAGCGGUACGCGAGCUGGGUUCAGAACGUCGUGAGACAGUUCGGUCCCUAUCCGUCGCGGGCGUAGGAAAUUUGAGAGGACCUGUCCUUAGUACGAGAGGACCGGGAUGGACAUACCUCUGGUGUACCAGUUGUGCCGCCAGGCGCAUCGCUGGGUAGCUACGUAUGGAUGUGAUAAACGCUGAAAGCAUCUAAGUGUGAAACACACCUCGAGAUGAGAUUUCCCAUUCCUUUAUGGAAGUAAGACCCCUGAAAGAUGAUCAGGUAGAUAGGUUAGAAGUGGCAGUGCGGUGACGCAUGAAGCGGACUAAUACUAAUCGGUCGAGGACUUAACC
Molecule: ribosomal RNA, 2917 nt
Filed under: Lactiplantibacillus plantarum
Lineage: Bacteria; Bacillati; Bacillota; Bacilli; Lactobacillales; Lactobacillaceae
Description: Lactobacillus plantarum 23S ribosomal RNA
Rfam family: Bacterial large subunit ribosomal RNA
Source: RNAcentral